This 692-nucleotide ribosomal RNA is filed under the name uncultured Alphaproteobacteria bacterium. RNAcentral describes it as "bacterial SSU rRNA". It matches the Rfam family "Bacterial small subunit ribosomal RNA", at positions 813 to 1533 of the family's 1533-position model. The record is from RNAcentral. Lineage: Bacteria; Pseudomonadati; Pseudomonadota; Alphaproteobacteria.
GUACUAGUUGUCGGGUCUUAAUUGACUUGGUAACGCAGCUAACGCGUGAAGUAGACCGCCUGGGGAGUACGGUCGCAAGAUUAAAAGUCAAAGGAAUUGACGGGGACCCGCACAAGCGGUGGAUGAUGUGGAUUAAUUGGAUGCAACGCGAAAAACCUUACCUACCCUUGACAUGGUCGGAAUUCUGCUGAGAGGCGGAAGUGCUCGAAAGAGAACCGACACACAGGUGCUGCAUGGCUGUCGUCAGCUCGUGUCGUGAGAUGUUGGGUUAAGUCCCGCAACGAGCGCAACCCUUGUCUUUACUUGAUUACAAAGUAGAGAGACUGCCGGUGACAAACCGGAGGAAGGAGAGGAUGACGUCAAGUCAGCAUGCCCCUUACGCCCUGGGCUACACACGUGCUACAAUGGCCGGGACAAUGAGAUGGGACCCUGCGAAGGCAAGCCAACCUCAAAAACCCGGUCUCAGUUCGGAUUGUAGGUUGCAACUCGCCUACAUGAAGUCGGAAUCGCUAGUAGACGCCGGUCAGCCAUACGGCGUUGAAUAUGUUACCGGGCCUUGUACACACCGCCCGUCACACUAAGGGAGUUGGGUUGGUCCAAAGUAAUUACCCUAACCGGGUUAUCCGGAGGGGGAUUAUCACGGCCGAACUGGUGACUUGAGUGAAGUCGUAACAGGGUAAAGGGCGAAUUCC